CUCUUAUCAAGAGAGGUGGAGGGAAGUGCCCUAUGAAGCCCGGCAACCAUCAACAUUUGUUGAAGUGGUGCCAAUUCACACAAAGCUGUUUAGCUUUGAGAGAUGAGAG
This 109-nucleotide non-coding RNA is filed under the name Metabacillus litoralis. RNAcentral's name for it is "Bacillus litoralis SAM-I sequence". It matches the Rfam family "SAM riboswitch aptamer (S box leader)". From Rfam's summary of the family: The SAM riboswitch is found upstream of a number of genes which code for proteins involved in methionine or cysteine biosynthesis in Gram-positive bacteria. Lineage: Bacteria; Bacillati; Bacillota; Bacilli; Caryophanales; Bacillaceae. The record is from Rfam by way of RNAcentral.